GACGAACGCUGGCGGCGUGCCUAAUACAUGCAAGUAGAACGCUGAAGAGAGGAGCUUGCUCUUCUUGGAUGAGUUGCGAACGGGUGAGUAACGCGUAGGUAACCUGCCUUGUAGCGGGGGAUAACUAUUGGAAACGAUAGCUAAUACCGCAUAACAAUGGAUGACACAUGUCAUUUAUUUGAAAGGGGCAAUUGCUCCACUACAAGAUGGACCUGCGUUGUACUAGCUAGUAGGUGAGGUAACGGCUCACCUAGGCGACGAUACAUAGCCGACCUGAGAGGGUGAUCGGCCACACUGGGACUGAGACACGGCCCAGACUCCUACGGGAGGCAGCAGUAGGGAAUCUUCGGCAAUGGGGGCAACCCUGACCGAGCAACGCCGCGUGAGUGAAGAAGGUUUUCGGAUCGUAAAGCUCUGUUGUAAGUCAAGAACGAGUGUGAGAGUGGAAAGUUCACACUGUGACGGUAGCUUACCAGAAAGGGACGGCUAACUACGUG
This 497-nucleotide ribosomal RNA is filed under the name uncultured bacterium. RNAcentral describes it as "partial 16S ribosomal RNA". It matches the Rfam family "Bacterial small subunit ribosomal RNA", at positions 28 to 507 of the family's 1533-position model. The record is from RNAcentral.